Molecule: ribosomal RNA, 428 nt
Filed under: Bacteroidota bacterium
Lineage: Bacteria; Pseudomonadati; Bacteroidota
Description: Bacteroidetes bacterium partial 16S ribosomal RNA
Rfam family: Bacterial small subunit ribosomal RNA
Source: RNAcentral
UAGGGAAUCUUCCGCAAUGGACGCAAGUCUGACGGAGCAACGCCGCGUGAGUGAAGAAGGAUUUCGGUUCGUAAAACUCUGUUGUUAGAGAAGAACAGCGCAUAGAGUAACUGUUAUGCGUGUGACGGUAUCUAACCAGAAAGCCACGGCUAACUACGUGCCAGCAGCCGCGGUAAUACGUAGGUGGCAAGCGUUGUCCGGAUUUAUUGGGCGUAAAGCGAGCGCAGGCGGUUAGAAAAGCCUGAAGUGAAAGGCAGUGGCUCAACCAUUGUAGGCUUUGGAAACUGUUUAACUUGAGUGCAGAAGGGGAGAGUGGAAUUCCAUGUGUAGCGGUGAAAUGCGUAGAUAUAUGGAGGAACACCGGUGGCGAAAGCGGCUCUCUGGUCUGUAACUGACGCUGAGGCUCGAAAGCGUGGGGAGCGAACAGG